RNAcentral lists this long non-coding RNA (215 nucleotides) under Manihot esculenta (cassava). RNAcentral's name for it is "long non-coding RNA (MESC_LNC002777)". The record is from RNAcentral. Lineage: Eukaryota; Viridiplantae; Streptophyta; Magnoliopsida; Malpighiales; Euphorbiaceae.
GUAUCAACAAGGGAUUACAACAGACUAUGAUCAAGCACACUUCUAAACCUCAAUAUCAUCAUUACAUAACAUAGCUAAUCAUAACAUUACAUCAUUACAUAAUUUGUCAUGUCCACUUUCUAUCUAUUACGAAACCAGGACUUCAUUACUCUUGCUGACCUCCUGGACUACCCUGUACCUGCAAGCCUGGGGGUUAAGGGAGAGGGGUGAGCUAC